ACCGGUGCUUUUGGCGCGGGUGAUACACCGGUUCCCAUCCCGAACACCACCGUUAAGACCCGCUGCGGCGAUGAUACUCACUUGUGGGGAAAGUAGCGCGGUGCCGGAU
Molecule: ribosomal RNA, 109 nt
Filed under: bacterium
Lineage: Bacteria
Source: RNAcentral